AUUGAACGCUGGCGGCAUGCCUUACACAUGCAAGUCGAACGGUAACAGGUCUUCGGAUGCUGACGAGUGGCGAACGGGUGAGUAAUACAUCGGAACGUGCCCGAUCGUGGGGGAUAACGAAGCGAAAGCUUUGCUAAUACCGCAUACGAUCUACGGAUGAAAGCAGGGGACCGCAAGGCCUUGCGCGAACGGAGCGGCCGAUGGCAGAUUAGGUAGUUGGUGGGAUAAAAGCUUACCAAGCCGACGAUCUGUAGCUGGUCUGAGAGGACGACCAGCCACACUGGGACUGAGACACGGCCCAGGCUCCUACGGGAGGCAGCAGUGGGGAAUUUUGGACAAUGGGCGAAAGCCUGAUCCAGCCAUGCCGCGUGCAAGAUGAAGGCCUUCGGGUUGUAAACUGCUUUUGUACGGAACGAAAAGACUCUGGUUAAUACCUGGGGUCCAUGACGGUACCGUAAGAAUAAGCACCGGCUAACUACGUGCCAGCCGCCGCCGUAA
Molecule: ribosomal RNA, 498 nt
Filed under: uncultured bacterium
Lineage: Bacteria
Description: partial 16S ribosomal RNA
Rfam family: Bacterial small subunit ribosomal RNA
Source: RNAcentral